ACACAUUUAAUCAAAAUUGUUAAAUCCUAUGGAGCCUAAUAAGAAAGACAAUCCUACAUAUCAGAGUCUACAAUAUAAAUCAUACAUUCAAAUAUAGGAAAGCUAUAUUACCUUCAGUCAAAGCUAAAGAACCAGAUAUAAAAAUAAAAAUCGAAGCUAUAUUACCAAUAUUCAAAAAUCCAAAUAAAAGGUUAGGGCUCUUCGUUUUUAGCACAUCAAUGGUGUGGAGAUAAGGAUGUAAUCGAUGGUGAAAGUGUUUGUGGAGACAUCAAUUUUGAGACAUUAGAUGCACGCCUUAAUCACCGCCAACCACAAUCCUCCACUACUGAAAAUCGCAAUCUAUUACAGCCUCCUUAAACUACCGAUGUCACCUCCGUGAACCUCACUUUCCAGCCGAUGAACACCGUAGCACCAUCGAGAACCAAAACCAUAACCUUUAUCAGACCAACAAAGAAGAAAAUAAGAAGAAGUAGGCGUCUGUUUUUUUCUUUGUGUUUGGCUGCAAAAGAAAACACACCAAAGUCCUAGUGGUUUUGAUCCGAUGGUGAUGUAAAAGUCCUAGAGGGUUCAGAUCGAGUUUUAUCUACUUCUUCUUAGAGAAAGAGAAAGUGAAGGAUAAGAGAGUACUGAAGUUGUUAGUAGUUCAAAUCUAGAGUGGCGAUGGGAUCGAAAGAAAAAAAAAACGUCUCCACAUGUUUGAUCGGUCUCCCUUUUAACCCCCAUAAAAGUCAUAACCUUCUGGUAGUGGAAUGGGUAACCCUCCGAGCAUCAAUUGCAUAAGAAAUCGGUAUUAUUUCUUUGAAUUGAAAAGAAAUCAAUGGAUCAGGAUGAGUUACGACACAUGUGUUGUCUUUAAAGACAAUUCGAAGAAGUGAUCCAUGGAUGAGAGUGGCCGGUAAGGAUGGUGUCGGCGAUGAUGAAAGGGGUUAGGUUUACAGAGUGUUGAAUGAGUUUGGAGAGAGUAUAUUUUCAGUUUAUGGAAUUCAAAUUUCCAUUCUCCAAUGUUCUGUGUAUUAUAAACUACAAAUUGGGCGAAUAAAGGGGAAAGAAAAGGUAAA
Molecule: long non-coding RNA, 1058 nt
Filed under: Lactuca sativa (garden lettuce)
Lineage: Eukaryota; Viridiplantae; Streptophyta; Magnoliopsida; Asterales; Asteraceae
Description: long non-coding RNA (LSAT_LNC007027)
Source: RNAcentral